UGAGUAACCUUGCCCUUAACUCUGGGAUAAGCCUGGGAAGCUGGGUCUAAUACCGGAUAUGACUCCUCAUCGCAUGGUGGGGGGUGGAAGGCUUUUUGUGGUUUUGGAUGGGCUCGCGGCCUAUCAGCUAGUUGGUGAGGUAAUGGCUCACCAAGGCGACGACGGGUAGCCGGCCUGAGAGGGUGACCGGCCACACUGGGACUGAGACACGGCACAGACUCCUACGGGAGCAG
RNAcentral lists this ribosomal RNA (233 nucleotides) under uncultured bacterium. Its description in RNAcentral is "partial 16S ribosomal RNA". It matches the Rfam family "Bacterial small subunit ribosomal RNA", at positions 118 to 347 of the family's 1533-position model. The record is from RNAcentral.